This 1834-nucleotide unclassified non-coding RNA is filed under the name Trichogramma pretiosum. RNAcentral describes it as "cyclin-dependent kinase-like 4, transcript variant X4". Lineage: Eukaryota; Metazoa; Arthropoda; Insecta; Hymenoptera; Trichogrammatidae. The record is from RNAcentral.
ACGAGUGAAACACUGUAAUCGUGAUUCGUCCAAUGCCGUAUCUUUCUCAAGUUUCCUUGUAGUCGAAAAAUUUAUUUCAUUUCAGCUUUUAUUUGUUCUUACAUUUUUUACGUACUUUUUCCGCGUUCAACAUCUGAAUUCAAGUGGACGUAAGCAGAAGAAAUGGAUUUUAAAUGGCAGUCUGAAAAAUCAUAAAAAUGGAAAGGUACGAAAACAUUGAAGUGGUUGGAGAAGGCAGCUACGGUAUAGUAAUGAAAUGUCGGCACAAAGAGACUGGCCAGAUAGUGGCGAUAAAAAAAUUUCUCGAGUCCGUAGAAAAUAUUCAUGUAAGAAAACUGGCCUUUCGAGAAAUACGAAUGCUGAAGAGAUUGAGACACGAAAAUCUCGUGAGUUUGAUCGAAGUUUUCAAGCGGAAGAAGCGCUUUUACCUCGUCUUCGAAUACUUGGAUCAUACGAUAUUAGAAGAGCUGGAGGCUGUGGGUGGUGGUCUCGGCUUCGAGUUGUCUCGUCGGCACAUUUUUCAGGUUCUACGAGGCUUGAAUUUCUGCCACCACAAUAACAUAAUGCAUCGCGACAUCAAGCCGGAAAACGUUCUGGUCUCGUCGCACGGGGUAGUCAAGCUGUGCGACUUUGGCUUCGCACGGAUUUCGGGGCCGAACGAGUCGUGCACGGAUUACGUGGCGACCAGGUGGUACCGGGCGCCGGAACUCCUCGUCGGCGACGCUCGUUACGGCCGAGCCGUCGACACUUGGGCGGCUGGCUGCCUCUACGCCGAGAUGCUGACGGGCGAGCCACUGUUUCCCGGUGACAGCGACGUCGAUCAACUCUUCCGGAUCACCAGGCUCAUGGGUGGUCUCUGCCACAGGCAUCAAAGCCUGCUGAACCGCAACAGCAGCCACGGUCGGAGCUUGCGCAAGGCCAGCGUGGAGAGUCUGUCGUAUCGACACGCCACCCUGACGAACUUGAACGGGCCGUCGGCUGCCUCGGCUCGGGGCCCCAGCGGAGGCCUCCGAUCGCUGCGCAAUCAUCUGCCCUGCUGCAGCUCCAGCGGCCUGGACUUUCUGUCGCAGUGCCUGCGAAUGGACCCGGACACGAGGCCCAACUGCGCCCAACUGCUGCAGCAUCCGCUCUUCAUGCAGGACAACUUCGCCGAGCGCUUCCUCGUCGAGCUGCGGGACUACGUGGCCAAGGAGGCGGCGGGAAAUCCUCUGCUGCAGUUGAGACGCGUCGAGGAGAGGAGGUUCAGCGUCAUGUCGCUCGAGGAGCCGCCCAGAGUCUACGCCACCGGAGCCUUGCCGAGGUGGAGCAUGAAACUCGUGAGGGAGCCUUCGGACAAGAUAAGCGCGGACGUCAACGUCAACGCGGACUCCUUGAACCAGACGCGCAAUUGCAACGGACGAGCUAAUAAUCGUCAAACGCCCGAGCAUCCACAGCAAUUACCGAUCCAAAGGAAGCCUCUGUCCCGACCGAGAGAACUGAGCUUCAUCGGCCCGACCAACGUCCAGCCCAACGCGACUUACAUUCGCCGACUGGAGCACAAGGGCCUGCUACCGAUGCUCGACUCGAACAAUGGCAAGAGCUGCACGCUGCCGAUCCUCGCCUCCAAGGAGUCGCUCCUGUCGAGCAGAGUAGCCCCCAAGAGGACAAAGCUCGAUGUCUCGUCGAGCAAUGCGAUCGCGUGACGUUUGGCCGCUGUCGGCCCGGCGCCCUCGCUAGCCCAGACCAAUCAUAGAUAAUACUCUUAUUAUUUGCAGACCCACGUCUUGUUCCUCGUCCCAACUCCUACUGUAAUAAUAUUGUAUAACUAAGUAUUGUAAAACUUUAACAGUAUUAC